Molecule: long non-coding RNA, 424 nt
Organism: Scophthalmus maximus (turbot)
Lineage: Eukaryota; Metazoa; Chordata; Actinopteri; Pleuronectiformes; Scophthalmidae
Exons: 3
Source: RefSeq, a predicted model, not a curated record
AUGCACACGGCGAGGAUGAGACUCGUCGCGUCCCUGGCCGCAGCAGCCCUGUCGGUGUGGUUGCUCCUCGCAGGCAGAAGCAGCAGCUCCUCCUCGGACAGUGUCACGUUGAACGGAGCUGCGGAGACCGAGUCGCGCUCGCUGAAAUCGCCCAGGUCGUCGGGGAGAAGAGUGGGGAACUCCAUUAUCCCCAAAUUACAGCCCAUUACUGCGAACAUCAGAAACCAUUAGGGAGCAUGCAGCUGCAUGUGAUCAUGUUUGUCUGCUGAAAUUGGCGCCUGCGUGCACAUGUCUGCAGCAUGUUUGCGAGCAAUUCUCAGGGGAGGACAGGAGGUUACAAACUCAUCAUAACACUGCAGGAAAACAUUUCCGACAAAGUCAGCAAGCCAGUACAACUUCAGGAAUCCAAUCACAUAGUGCUGAG